Molecule: ribosomal RNA, 110 nt
Filed under: Periophthalmus magnuspinnatus
Lineage: Eukaryota; Metazoa; Chordata; Actinopteri; Gobiiformes; Gobiidae
Source: RNAcentral
CUGAGCCAGAACUAAACCAGGACUGAUCUUGUCUGAUCUCUGAAGCUAAGCAGGGCUGGGCCUGGUUAGUACUUGGAUAGGAGGCUGCUGGGAAUACCAGGUACCACAGU